AUAGGAAAUUUAAGGGCGUACGGUGGAUGCCUUGACUCCAAGAAGGUGAUGAAGGACGUGGCUUGGCGGCGAUACGCUUCGGGGAGGUGCCUAGCAACCUUUGAUCCGGAGAUGUCCGAAUGGGGGAACCCGUCCCGACGUAAUGUCAGGACACCCCGCCAACUAGGCGGGGAACGCACCCAGUGAAGUAAAACAUUUCAGUAACUGGAGGAAAAUAGAACAAUUGUUAUUUCGUUAGUAGCGGCGAGCGAAAACGAAACAGCCCAAACUUAGUUUCAUUCUCACGAUGCGUAUGGUCGUGUUGUGGGAAUGAUACUGAGGGUCAUAAGGUGGUAAUGUCUCAACUUCGGUUGAGAGGAGAGUUAAAAAAUAUCUGGUUAGGUGAAGCUUCUGGAAAGCAGCACCCUAGAGGGUAAUAGUCCCGUAACCGAAAAUCAGAUAUCUCUUCCGUUACCGUUCUUGAGUAUCUCGAGACAUGAAUAGCUCGGGAGAAUUUGCCGGGACUAACCGGUAAGGCUAAAUACUCUUGGAGAUCGAUAGUGAACUAGUACCGUGAGGGAAAGGUGAAAAGCAGCCCGGGAGGGCAGUGAAAUAGACCUGAAACCAUAUGUCUACAAGGAGUCGAAGAGGGCGCAAGUCCUCGACGGCGUGCCUAUUGAAGAAUGAGCCAACGAGUUUUAGCAUGCUGCGCGGCUAAGCGCCUAUAAAGCGUGGAGCCAUAGGGAAACCGAGUGUGAAUAGCGCGUUUACCCUGAGAGCAAUCGAAGGGUUAGUAGUAUGCUAAAGACCCGAAGCCAGAGCGAGCUUGUCAUGAGCAGGGUGAACCCCGACGAAAGUCGGGGGGAGGCCCGAACCGUUGAGCCGUGCAAUACUCUCGGAUGACUUGUGAUAAGAAGUGAAAAGCUAAUCGAGCCUGGUAAUAGCUGGUUCUCUCCGAAAUAACUUUUGGGUUAGCGUCGAGUGUUUCCAUUGGUGGUAGAGCACUGGAAGGUUUGGACAGGCCGAAAGGUCGCUGGACCUAUCAAACUCCGAAUACCGAUUGGUCAGAGCUCGGCAGUUAGACUCCGGGGGCUAAGCUCCGGUGGUCAAAAAGGAAACAGCCUAGAUCUCUAUUUAAGGUCCCUAAAUUCAUGCUAAGUGCACUUAAGGAGGUGAAAUUUCUCCGAUACUGAGGAGGUUGGCUUAGAAGCAGCCAUCCUUUAAAGAAAGCGUAACAGCUCACUCAGUCAGAGAUUUUGCACCGCAGAUUCAUGGGGCUAAGCAUGGUACCGAAACUGAGGAUUUCUUCCCGCUUUGGCGGGAGGGAGUGGUAGGAGAGUAUUCGCAUCUGCACUGAAGGCGAAGGGGUGACCCACGCUGGAGCGUUGCGAAGUAAGAAUGUUGGCACAAGUAACCACAAUGCGGGUGAGAAACCCGCACGCCGAAAGAACAAGGUUUCCCUCUCAACGUUUGUCGGAGAGGGGUUAGUCGGCCCUAAGGGAAUGGUGAGAACCGCACCCGAUGGACACACGGUUAAUAUUCCGUGACUGUUUUUGCAAGUGAUGGGAGGACGAAGAUGAGUAUGUAUCGCGCAUUAUCGGAUUUGACGUCCGUGCUUUAAGGAAGUGUACGAGGAAAAACCCGGACACUAGCUUUGAUGCUGAUUCCAAGAAGAGCGGAAAUGCCCCGACUCGUCGGGGCAAAUGAUACAAAGCCAUCUUCCAAGAAAAUUCUCUAAACUUAUUGCAAGAGCAACCGUACCGCAAACCGACACAGGUGUUCAGCUCGAGUAGAGCAAGGCGAACGAGUGAGACGUCCCCAAGGAACUCGGCAAAAAAGCAGCCGUAACUUCGGAAUAAGGCUUGCCCUAUUUUUAUUAAUGGGGCCGCAGCUAAAGUAUCUCUGGCAACUGUUUACCAAAAACACAGCUCCCUGCGAACUCGCAAGAGGAUGUAUAGGGGGUGACACCUGACCAAUGCCAGAAGGUCAAACACGGGGGGUCUUAUUAUCUUCGGAUAAAAAGGCUGGACUGUGUAAGCCCUGGUGAAUGUCGGCCGUAACUAUAACGGUCCUAAGGUAGCGAAAUUCCUUGUCUGGUAAGUUCAGACGCGCACGAAUGGUGUAAUGACUGGAGAACUGUCUCGAGGAUUUGCUCGGUGAAAAUGCGAUACCGGUGAAGAUGCCGGUUAGGUGCAGUUAGACGAAAAGACCCCGGAAGCUUUACUGCAACUUGUUAUUGGCUUUACGUUUUAGAUGCGU
Molecule: ribosomal RNA, 2238 nt
Filed under: groundwater metagenome
Description: bacterial LSU rRNA
Rfam family: Bacterial large subunit ribosomal RNA
Source: RNAcentral